RNAcentral lists this long non-coding RNA (387 nucleotides) under Olea europaea (common olive). RNAcentral's name for it is "long non-coding RNA (OEUR_LNC004800)". The record is from RNAcentral. Lineage: Eukaryota; Viridiplantae; Streptophyta; Magnoliopsida; Lamiales; Oleaceae.
UUAAUUUCCAAAUAUACACAGACCAAGCACAUAUAACCUGCAACUUGCCAUGGAUUUCCUUUAAACCUUUCCUCUUCAGUUUGUCUCUUCGAUACUUACAUACAAAUUAAUAUCCAUUAUAAAUAUAUAUAUAUUUGCUGAGAAUUUUUGACAUAUAAAGAAGGGGAUGUCAAGAGUAGUUGCAGAGAAUUUAUCCCCUACACCGGCAAGAGAUAGAGUGCUGUUUUUUGAUCGGAGAGAGGGUGUGGAGAUGCCAGGAGUCGGUGCACCGGCAACGCCCACGUUGGGACAUCUUUUAAAAGUUGUUGGAGAUAUGAGGAAGGAGGUUACUGGCGACGAGACUCCAGUGCACCAGGUGCUUGAAAUGAGAGAAAAUGGGAUGGAGGC